GCCAGGUGGCCUAAACCCUUUGGGAGGGAGCUGUCGAAGGUGGGAUCGGCGAUUGGGACGAAGUCGUAACAAGGUAGCCGUACCGGAAGGUGCGGCUGGAUCACCUCCUUUCUAAGGAGCACCACGAAAAGCAUCCCAAUUGGUGGGAUGCAGGCCGUGUGGAGUUCUCGUCUGUAGUGGACGAGGGCUGGGUGCACAACAACAAGUAAGCCAGACACACUAUUGGGUCCUGAGACAACACUCGGGCGCUAGCACGAAGUGUUGUCCCUCCAUCUUGGUGGUGGGGUGUGGUGUUUGAGAACUGGAUAGUGGUUGCGAGCAUCAACUGAUCGCGUCGCCGUUCGCGGUGGCGUGUUCUUUUGUGCAAUUUUAAAUUCUUUGGUUUUUGUAGUGUUUGUAAGUGUCUAAAGGCGCAUGGUGGAUGCCUGCAUAUCAA
This 436-nucleotide unclassified non-coding RNA is filed under the name Mycobacterium asiaticum. RNAcentral's name for it is "partial contains 16S ribosomal RNA, 16S-23S ribosomal RNA intergenic spacer, and 23S ribosomal RNA". The stretch from base 1 to 111 matches the Rfam family "Bacterial small subunit ribosomal RNA", at positions 1426 to 1533 of the family's 1533-position model. The record is from RNAcentral. Lineage: Bacteria; Bacillati; Actinomycetota; Actinomycetes; Mycobacteriales; Mycobacteriaceae.